CUUUACUGUAACCUGGAAUUGGGUUCGGGCUUUGCUUGCGCAGCCUAGGUGGGAGGCGUUGAAGGUUUUCUUUCGGGGAAACUGGAGCCAACAGUGAGAGACCACUCUGGAGGAGCUAGAAUUCUAAUGGCGUUCCUUGAAGCAGGACGCUUGACAGUUUCAGGUGGGCAGUUUGACUGGGGCGGUCACCUCCUAAAAGGUAACGGAGGUGUGCAAAGGUUCCCUCAGGCUGGACGGAAAUCAGCCGGAGAGUGUAAAGGCAGAAGGGAGCUUGACUGCAAGACCUACAAGUCGAGCAGGGGCGAAAGCCGGCCUUAGUGAUCCGACGGUUCCAUGUGGAAGGGCCGUCGCUCAACGGAUAAAAGUUA
RNAcentral lists this ribosomal RNA (368 nucleotides) under uncultured organism. RNAcentral describes it as "bacterial LSU rRNA". It matches the Rfam family "Bacterial large subunit ribosomal RNA", at positions 2099 to 2465 of the family's 2925-position model. The record is from RNAcentral.